AUUGAACGCUGGCGGCAGGCCUAACACAUGCAGGUCGAGCGGUAGAGAGAAGCUUGCUUCUCUUGAGAGCGGCGGACGGGUGAGUAAUGCCUAGGAAUCUGCCUGGUAGUGGGGGAUAACGUUCGGAAACGGACGCUAAUACCGCAUACGUCCUACGGGAGAAAGCAGGGGACCUUCGGGCCUUGCGCUAUCAGAUGAGCCUAGGUCGGAUUAGCUAGUUGGUGAGGUAAUGGCUCACCAAGGCGACGAUCCGUAACUGGUCUGAGAGGAUGAUCAGUCACACUGGAACUGAGACACGGUCCAGACUCCUACGGGAGGCAGCAGUGGGGAAUAUUGGACAAUGGGCGAAAGCCUGAUCCAGCCAUGCCGCGUGUGUGAAGAAGGUCUUCGGAUUGUAAAGCACUUUAAGUUGGGAGGAAGGGCAGUAAAUUAAUACUUUGCUGUUUUGACGUUACCGACAGAAUAAGCACCGGCUAACUCUGUGCCAGCAGCCGCGGUUAUACAGAGGGGUGCAGCGUUAAUCGGAAUUACUGGGCGUAAGGCGCGCGUAAGUGGUUUGUUAGUUGGAUGUGAAACCCCGGGCUCAACCUGGGAACUGCAUUCUAAAAUGACUGACUAAAGUUGGGUAAAGGGGGGGGGAAUUUCCUGGGUAGCGGGGAAAAGCGUAGAUAUGGAAGGAACCCCAGGGGGAAGGGGCCCCCCUGACUAAUACUGCCAUGGGGUGCGAAAGCGGGGGAGCAAACAGGAUUAGAAUCCCUGGUGGUCCACGCCGUAAACGAUUUCAACUAGCCGUUGGAAGCCUGAAGCUUUUAGUGGGCCCACUUAACGCAUUAAGUUGACCGCCUGGGGAGUACGGCCGCAAGGUUAAAACUCAAAUGAAUUGACGGGGGCCCGCACAAGCGGUGGAGCAUGUGGUUUAAUUCGAAGCAAAGCGAAGAACCUUACCAGGCCUUGACAUCCAAUGAACUUUCUAGAGAUAGAUUGGUGCCUUCGGGAACAUUGAGACAGGUGCUGCAUGGCUGUCGUCAGCUCGUGUCGUGAGAUGUUGGGUUAAGUCCCGUAACGAGCGCAACCCUUGUCCUUAGUUACCAGCACGUCAUGGUGGGCACUCUAAGGAGACUGCCGGUGACAAACCGGAGGAAGGUGGGGAUGACGUCAAGUCAUCAUGGCCCUUACGGCCUGGGCUACACACGUGCUACAAUGGUCGGUACAGAGGGUUGCCAAGCCGCGAGGUGGAGCUAAUCCCACAAAACCGAUCGUAGUCCGGAUCGCAGUCUGCAACUCGACUGCGUGAAGUCGGAAUCGCUAGUAAUCGCGAAUCAGAAUGUCGCGGUGAAUACGUUCCCGGGCCU
This 1352-nucleotide ribosomal RNA is filed under the name uncultured bacterium. RNAcentral describes it as "bacterial SSU rRNA". It matches the Rfam family "Bacterial small subunit ribosomal RNA", at positions 28 to 1381 of the family's 1533-position model. The record is from RNAcentral.